AUUGAACGCUGGCGGAAUGCUUUACACAUGCAAGUCGAGCGGCAGCGCGGGGCAACCUGGCGGCGAGCGGCGAACGGGUGAGUAAUACAUCGGAACGUGCCCAGACGUGGGGGGAUAACUACUCGAAAGAGUGGCUAAUACCGCAUACGAUCUAAGGAUGAAAGCGGGGGAUCGCAAGACCUCGCGCGUUUGGAGCGGCCGAUGGCAGAUUAGGUAGUUGGUGGGGUAAAGGCUUACCAAGCCCGCGAUCUGUAGCUGGUCUGAGAGGAUGAUCAGCCACACUGGGACUGAGACACGGCCCAGACUCCUACGGGAGGCAGCAGUGGGGAAUAUUGCGCAAUGGGGGAAACCCUGACGCAGCCACGCCGCGUGGGGUGAUGAAGGCCUUCGGGUUGUAAAGCCCUGUCGGGAGGGACGAAGUUCUUGACGGUACCUCCAAAGAAGCACCGGCUAACUCCGUGCCAGCAGCCGCGGU
RNAcentral lists this ribosomal RNA (475 nucleotides) under uncultured bacterium. RNAcentral describes it as "bacterial SSU rRNA". It matches the Rfam family "Bacterial small subunit ribosomal RNA", at positions 29 to 521 of the family's 1533-position model. The record is from RNAcentral.